RNAcentral lists this ribosomal RNA (500 nucleotides) under uncultured bacterium. Its description in RNAcentral is "partial 16S ribosomal RNA". It matches the Rfam family "Bacterial small subunit ribosomal RNA", at positions 30 to 523 of the family's 1533-position model. The record is from RNAcentral.
AUUGAACGCUGGCGGAAUGCUUUACACAUGCAAGUCGAACGAUGAAGCCUAGCUUGCUAGGUCGAUUAGUGGCGAACGGGUGAGUAAUAUAUCGGAACGUAUCCAAUAAUGGGGGAUAACUAGUCGAAAGAUUGGCUAAUACCGCAUACGUCCUACGGGAGAAAGCAGGGGAUCGUAAGACCUGGCGUUAAUGGAGCGGCCGAUAUCUGAUUAGCGAGUUGGGGAGGUAAAGGCUCACCAAGGCGACGAUCAGUAGCUGGUCUGAGAGGACGACCAGCCACACUGGAACUGAGACACGGUCCAGACUCCUACGGGAGGCAGCAGUGGGGAAUUUUGGACAAUGGGCGAAAGCCUGAUCCAGCCAUUCCGCGUGAGUGAAGAAGGCCUUCGGGUUGUAAAGCUCUUUCGCAAGGGAAGAACACUUACUUAAUAACACUAAGUGAGGUUGACGGUACCUUGAUAAGAAGCACCGGCUAACUACGUGCCAGCAGCCGCAGUAA